UGCUCAGAAAUAACGCUGGCGGCAGGCCUAACACAUGCAAGUCGAGCGGAAACGAGUUAUCUGAACCUUCGGGGAACGAUAACGGCGUCGAGCGGCGGACGGGUGAGUAAUGCCUAGGAAAUUGCCCUGAUGUGGGGGAUAACCAUUGGAAACGAUGGCUAAUACCGCAUGAUGCCUACGGGCCAAAGAGGGGGACCUUCGGGCCUCUCGCGUCAGGAUAUGCCUAGGUGGGAUUAGCUAGUUGGUGAGGUAAGGGCUCACCAAGGCGACGAUCCCUAGCUGGUCUGAGAGGAUGAUCAGCCACACUGGAACUGAGACACGGUCCAGACUCCUACGGGAGGCAGCAGUGGGGAAUAUUGCACAAUGGGCGCAAGCCUGAUGCAGCCAUGCCGCGUGUGUGAAGAAGGCCUUCGGGUUGUAAAGCACUUUCAGUCGUGAGGAAGGUAGUGUAGUUAAUAGCUGCAUU
Molecule: ribosomal RNA, 466 nt
Filed under: marine bacterium 13705
Lineage: Bacteria; Pseudomonadati; Pseudomonadota; Gammaproteobacteria; Vibrionales; Vibrionaceae
Description: bacterial SSU rRNA
Rfam family: Bacterial small subunit ribosomal RNA
Source: RNAcentral